Molecule: transfer RNA, 92 nt
Filed under: Enterobacter cloacae
Lineage: Bacteria; Pseudomonadati; Pseudomonadota; Gammaproteobacteria; Enterobacterales; Enterobacteriaceae
Also listed under: 2 other names
Description: tRNA-Cys
Source: RNAcentral
UCAUGGGCUGGCGUAACGUUGCGCGCGGGCUGCAGCCCGGCGUUAAGCACGAUUUUUAAGCCGCAGGGCAGCGCCGUUCCGUCGCUCAUCGU